This 500-nucleotide ribosomal RNA is filed under the name uncultured bacterium. RNAcentral describes it as "partial 16S ribosomal RNA". It matches the Rfam family "Bacterial small subunit ribosomal RNA", at positions 30 to 523 of the family's 1533-position model. The record is from RNAcentral.
AUUGAACGCUGGCGGCAGGCCUAACACAUGCAAGUCGAGCGGAUGAGGAGUGCUUGCACUCCGAUUCAGCGGCGGACGGGUGAGUAAUGCCUAGGAAUCUGCCCGAUAGUGGGGGACAACGUUUCGAAAGGAACGCUAAUACCGCAUACGUCCUACGGGAGAAAGUGGGGGCUCUUCGGACCUCACGCUAUCGGAUGAGCCUAGGUGGGAUUAGCUAGUUGGUGGGGUAAAGGCCCACCAAGGCGACGAUCCGUAGCUGGUCUGAGAGGAUGAUCAGUCACACUGGAACUGAGACACGGUCCAGACUCCUACGGGAGUCAGCAGUGGGGAAUAUUGGACAAUGGGCGAAAGCCUGAUCCAGCCAUGCCGCGUGUGUGAAGAAGGUCUUCGGAUUGUAAAGCACUGUAAGUUGGGAGGAAGGGCUGUAAGUUAAUACCUUGCAGUUUUGACGUUACCGACAGAAUAAGCACCGGCUAACUUCGUGCCAGCAGCCGCCGUAA